Molecule: ribosomal RNA, 388 nt
Filed under: uncultured bacterium
Lineage: Bacteria
Description: bacterial SSU rRNA
Rfam family: Bacterial small subunit ribosomal RNA
Source: RNAcentral
GACGAACGCUGGCGGCGUGCUUAACACAUGCAAGUCGAGCGGUAAGGCCCUUUCGGGGGUACACGAGCGGCGAACGGGUGAGUAACACGUGGGUGACCUGCCCUCAGCUCUGGGAUAGGCCUGGGAAACCGGGUCUAAUACUGGAUAUGACUCCAUGACGCAUGUUGUGGGGUGGAAAGCCUUGUGCGGCUGAGGAUGGGCCCGCGGCCUAUCAGCUUGUUGGUGGGGUGAUGGCCUACCAAGGCGACGACGGGUAGCCGGCCUGAGAGGGCGACCGGCCACACUGGGACUGAGACACGGCCCAGACUCCUACGGGAGGCAGCAGUGGGGAAUCUUGCGCAAUGGGCGAAAGCCUGACGCAGCGACGCCGCGUGAGGGAUGACGGCCU